UACGAAGGGAGCUAGCGUUGUUCGGAAUUACUGGGCGUAAAGGGCGCGUAGGCGGUCUUUUAAGUCAGGCGUGAAAGCCCUGGGCUCAACCCAGGAACUGCGCUUGAGACUGGAAGGCUAGAGUAUGGGAGAGGUAAGUGGAAUUCCCAGUGUAGAGGUGAAAUUCGUAGAUAUUGGGAAGAAUAUCAGUGGCGAAGGCGGCUUACUGGACCAUAACUGACGCUGAGGCGCGAAAGCGUGGGGAGCAAACAGG
RNAcentral lists this ribosomal RNA (253 nucleotides) under uncultured bacterium. RNAcentral's name for it is "partial 16S ribosomal RNA". It matches the Rfam family "Bacterial small subunit ribosomal RNA", at positions 524 to 776 of the family's 1533-position model. The record is from RNAcentral.